CAGCAGCCGCGGGAAUACGGAGGGAGCUAGCGUUGUUCGGAAUUACUGGGCGUAAAGCGCGCGUAGGCGGUUACUCAAGUCAGAGGUGAAAGCCCGGGGCUCAACCCCGGAACUGCCUUUGAAACUAGGUGACUAGAAUCUUGGAGAGGUCAGUGGAAUUCCGAGUGUAGAGGUGAAAUUCGUAGAUAUUCGGAAGAACACCAGUGGCGAAGGCGACUGACUGGACAAGUAUUGACGCUGAGGUGCGAAAGCGUGGGGAGCAAACAGGAUUAGAGACCCGAGUAGUCCCUGUCUCUUAUAC
RNAcentral lists this ribosomal RNA (301 nucleotides) under uncultured bacterium. Its description in RNAcentral is "partial 16S ribosomal RNA". It matches the Rfam family "Bacterial small subunit ribosomal RNA", at positions 509 to 807 of the family's 1533-position model. The record is from RNAcentral.